GUCGAACGGUAACAGGAAGCAGCUUGCUGCUUUGCUGACGAGUGGCGGACGGGUGAGUAAUGUCUGGGAAACUGCCUGAUGGAGGGGGAUAACUACUGGAAACGGUAGCUAAUACCGCAUAACGUCGCAAGACCAAAGAGGGGGACCUUCGGGCCUCUUGCCAUCGGAUGUGCCCAGAUGGGAUUAGCUAGUAGGUGGGGUAAAGGCUCACCUAGGCGACGAUCCCUAGCUGGUCUGAGAGGAUGACCAGCCACACUGGAACUGAGACACGGUCCAGACUCCUACGGGAGGCAGCAGUGGGGAAUAUUGCACAAUGGGCGCAAGCCUGAUGCAGCCAUGCCGCGUGUAUGAAGAAGGCCUUCGGGUUGUAAAGUACUUUCAGCGGGGAGGAAGGGAGUAAAGUUAAUACCUUUGCUCAUUGACGUUACCCGCAGAAGAAGCACCGGCUAACUCCGUGCCAGCAGCCGCGGUAAUACGGAGGGUGCAAGCGUUAAUCGGAAUUACUGGGCGUAAAGCGCACGCAGGCGGUUUGUUAAGUCAGAUGUGAAAUCCCCGGGCUCAACCUGGGAACUGCAUCUGAUACUGGCAAGCUUGAGUCUCGUAGAGGGGGGUAGAAUUCCAGGUGUAGCGGCGAAAUGCGUAGAGAUCUGGAGGAAUACCGGUGGCGAA
This 669-nucleotide ribosomal RNA is filed under the name uncultured Escherichia sp. Its description in RNAcentral is "bacterial SSU rRNA". It matches the Rfam family "Bacterial small subunit ribosomal RNA", at positions 61 to 719 of the family's 1533-position model. Lineage: Bacteria; Pseudomonadati; Pseudomonadota; Gammaproteobacteria; Enterobacterales; Enterobacteriaceae. The record is from RNAcentral.